This 253-nucleotide ribosomal RNA is filed under the name uncultured bacterium. Its description in RNAcentral is "partial 16S ribosomal RNA". It matches the Rfam family "Bacterial small subunit ribosomal RNA", at positions 524 to 776 of the family's 1533-position model. The record is from RNAcentral.
UACGGAGGGUGCAAGCGUUAAUCGGAAUUACUGGGCGUAAAGCGCGCGUAGGCGGCUCGGUCAGUCGGGUGUGAAAUCCCUGGGCUCAACCUGGGAACUGCGUCUGAUACUGGAUGGCUUGAGUUCGGGAGAGGGAUGCGGAAUUCCAGGUGUAGCGGUGAAAUGCGUAGAUAUCUGGAGGAACACCGGUGGCGAAGGCGGCAUCCUGGACCGACACUGACACUGAGGAGCGAAAGCCAGGGGAGCAAACGGG